CGGGAUACCCGAGGGAAACUUCGGUUAAUACGGUAUAAGACCACACUACCGCAUGGUAGAGGGGUAAAAGGGGCAACCUGGUAUGAGAUGGACUCGCGUCGCAUUAGCUAGUUGGUGAGGUAACGGCCCACCAAGGCGACGAUGCGUAGCCGACCUGAGAGGGUGAUCGGCCACAUUGGGACUGAGAUACGGCCCAGACUCCUACGGGAGGCAGCAGUGGGGAAUAUUGGGCAAUGGAGGAAACUCUGACCCAGCAAUGCCGCGUGAAUGAAGAAGGUCUUCGGAUUGUAAAGUUCUUUAGUCAGGGAAGAAGUCAAUGACGGUACCUGAAGAAUAAGCUCCGGCUAACUACGUGCCAGCAGCCGCGGUAAUACGUAGGGAGCAAGCGUUGUUCGGAAUGACUGGGCGUAAAGGGUGCGUAGGCGGUUGUACAAGUUAGAAGUGAAAUACCCAGGGCUUAACUCGGGUGCUGCUUCUAAAACUGUAUGACUUGAGUGCAGUAGAGGUUAGUGGAAUUCCUAGUGUAGCGGUGGAAUGCGUAGAUAUUAGGAGGAACACCAGAGGCGAAGGCGGCUAACUGGACUGCAACUGACGCUGAGGCACGAAAGUGUGGGGAGCAAACAGGAUUAGAUACCCUGGUAGUCCACACUGUAAACGAUGGAUACUAGAUGUAGGAGGUAUCGACUCCUUCUGCGUCGCAG
Molecule: ribosomal RNA, 701 nt
Filed under: uncultured bacterium
Lineage: Bacteria
Description: bacterial SSU rRNA
Rfam family: Bacterial small subunit ribosomal RNA
Source: RNAcentral